This is a long non-coding RNA of Dasypus novemcinctus (nine-banded armadillo), 2410 nucleotides long. The record is from Ensembl. Lineage: Eukaryota; Metazoa; Chordata; Mammalia; Cingulata; Dasypodidae.
CCAGCGCCGCCCUGCCAGGUGGCACCUCCUCCAAAGGAAAUUGAACCUUCGGAUUUGAAAGGGAAAAAUAAAAAUUAAUUGAAGUAGCCGGGUCUUUUCCUCCCUAUCGACAUCCGGGUUUAAUGAAAAAAAAAAUUGGAGACCGGUUUGCAGCCAGGAGCAAGAUUGUCUCGCCGUCCCUGGCCGCCCGCAGAGCCCCGUCUAUCUGGAAGGAGAGUGGAUUAAGUAGGAGGAUUUUUUUUGCCAAAGUCAGCAGCUACGGCGGAGACGCCCCGACUCCCUCCAGCCGCUGGGCCAGCGCCCAGGAGCCCCAGGGAGGGGGCAGGGGGGCAGCCGGUCUGCCGGCGCCCACCGCAGCCCUCGUGCACCCCCUGGUUGGGCCUCCUGGACUCUUCGGGUGCCCCCCCCACCGCGAACCCCCUGUGGCGCAAGGGCCAGGGGACGCCCGUGUGCCGCUGGAGGUGCUGCCCUGUGCCUGCCCCUCCCGGCCUCCCCAGCAGGGCACCACACCCUGGAACCAGCCACAGAUGACAGCCCCCGACAACAGGCAUUGCUGGCCAGCGGGAAAGGGCCAGGGGCUCCUCCUCUGGCACUCUGGCAGGAGCAAAGGGACAAAGGGGCCGGAACAGAGAGGCCGAGGGCGGCCAGCUGCGGGCCCCCAGGAGCUUCUCAUACAGGUUUUACAGGUCUGCCGGGAGGGAGGCGGAGGCCGAGGCCAUUCAUUACAAAUUGGUUCAGGGAGCCGAGGGCUGGAGAAGGCGUUUCCACAGCCCAGCUCCCACUUCAGGUGGAAUUCCGGCUCUUUCCAGGAUGAGCCCCUGGAGCGAGCACCGGUCUGGGAGCCGCCUUCCCUGAGGCUCUCUGGGCCUCCCUUUUCCAACUGCCAGCCAAGGGGCUGGGCUAGAGCGUCUCUCCAGCGAUUCCUGAGUCCAGGGACAGUAAUAAAAAGAAUAACAGCGAGCGCUGGCACCCGCAUGACUCUUCCCGCACCACGGAGGAGGAGGGGCCAGGGACGGGGCGGUCAGUGCAAAGGCCCUGGGGAGGCAGCCGGCUCCCCAUCCUGCCCGACUCCAAAGUCCCUUCUCAGGUUUCCUGGUAAAACCGCGUCUAUGGUUCUGCCGGCCGAGGCUUACUACUUUACCUUCCAUCUUCUCCUCAUCCACUAAAAAUAAAGAGGUGUGUCUAGACUCUAAAGGCCUCCGCUAGGGCCCUGGCGGUUAGCAGAUGUCAGCUGGGCCACGGAGCUCCGGGCCUGGGUCUUUAUUCUCGGGGGAGGAGAACGUGAAGGACCCCAAGCCCGCGGAGGCUCCACCUGCCCACAGACGGUUUCCACAGUCACCAUCUCCCCUCCUCUACCAGGAUCCCCGGGACCCCCAGGCCUGCCCCCCCCCCGCCCACCCUCUAGGCAGGGCUCUCAGCUGCCAGGGGCGCGCUGGGCGGGGGCGUUCUUGUUGGGGGGGUGCUCUCGAGUGUUGUAGGAUGUUUAGCAGCAUCCUUGGCCACUACCCUCUAGGUGCCAGCAGAGUCAAAAUUGACUCCAGAUAAUGACCCAGUGUCCCAACCAAUUGUCCCCAGGUUGAGGACCGCUGCUCUAGAGGCUAAGGGUACAGGGAGGCAGGAUACCCUGCUUCAAAGGGCCCUUCUGCCCUUAGCGGGUGGCAUCUGCCGAGCUUCUCCACCCCUCUAAAACUCAGUCUUCUCAUCUGUAAAGUGGGGUUCAGAAUGAUACACAAGGGCGUGCUCUGAGAAGUCUGUGAGCUAAAGCACUGAGAAGCACAUGGGAUGCUUAGCCCAGCACCUGGCAAAUGUGCUUUAAGAAGGAAAUGGUAGGGAGUGGCUGAGCUCCUGCUUCCCAGGUACGAGGUCCUGGGUUCAAUCCCUGGUACCUCCUAAAAAAAAAAAAAAGGAAAUGGUCAUGGAAUGGGUGAAACAAGUAGUGUAGCCCAAAGAAGAUUAACAAGAGUCACCAGAGCUGGGUUGCCUUGCCCCAACUCGGGAGAAGGGGUGCUACUGAGAUCUAGUGGGUGGAGGUAGGGAUGCUGCUAAACCUUCCACAAUGCACAGGACAGCCCCCCACAACCAACAAUUCAUCCACCCAACAUGUCAGUGGUGCCAAGGUUGAGAAAUCCUACAUUAGAUCAAGUGAACCUCCUUGCCUUUCCCUUUCUGCCUUGGUCACUGGGAAGCUCAAAGCAAAGCUUAUACUCAACUUCCACAGCCUUUCUCAGCUUAGCAUUCUGAUUCAAAUCUUUCUCCACCCCUUCCCCUCUACCCAUCUUCAAUAGCUUUACACCUUUUUCUCUUAUCCUUCCUUCAAUGAGCCUACAAGAAUUUUGUCUCUCUUUAAUCAUUUUUUUACUGUUUUAAGGAGAAGACAGUAUAUAAACCAAAACUGAAAUAAAUUCCUAUU